CGAUUGGUUCUAUUUUGUUGGUUUCUAGGACCAUCGUAAUGAUUAAUAGGGACGGUCGGGGGCAUCAGUAUUCAGUUGUCAGAGGUGAAAUUCUUGGAUUUACUGAAGACUAACUACUGCGAAAGCAUUUGUCAAGGACGUUUUCAUUAAUCAAGAACGAAAGUUAGGGGAUCGAAGAUGAUCAGAUACCGUCGUAGUCUUAACCAUAAACUAUGCCGACUAGGGAUCGGGCGGUGCCUUUUAUUGGCCCACUCGGCACCUUACGAGAAAUCAAAGUUUUUGGGUUCUGGGGGGAGUAUGGUCGCAAGGCUGAAACUUAAAGGAAUUGACGGAAGGGCACCACCAGGAGUGGAGCCUGCGGCUUAAUUUGACUCAACACGGGGAAACUCACCAGGUCCAGACACAAUAAGGAUUGACAGAUUGAGAGCUCUUUCUUGAUUUUGUGGGUGGUGGUGCAUGGCCGUUCUUAGUUGGUGGAGUGAUUUGUCUGCUUAAUUGCGAUAACGAACGAGACCUUAGCCCUUAAAUAGAGUUGCUGGCAUUUGCUGGUAAAUCUUCUUAUGGGGACUAUCGAUUUCAAGUCGAUGGAAGUUUGAGGCAAUAACAGGUCUGUGAUGCCCUUAGACGUUCUGGGCCGCACGCGCGCUACACUGACGGAGCCAGCGAGCUUUUCCUUAGCCGAGAGGUUUGGGUAAUCUUGUGAAACUCCGUCGUGC
This 716-nucleotide ribosomal RNA is filed under the name uncultured fungus. Its description in RNAcentral is "SSU rRNA". It matches the Rfam family "Eukaryotic small subunit ribosomal RNA", at positions 827 to 1570 of the family's 1831-position model. Lineage: Eukaryota; Fungi. The record is from RNAcentral.